UAUGUAUUGCCAGCCGCCGCGGUAAUACGUAGGGAGCAAGCGUUGUCCGGAUUUACUGGGUGUAAAGGGUGCGUAGGCGGCUUUGCAAGUCAGAUGUGAAAUCUAUGGGCUCAACCCAUAAACUGCAUUUGAAACUGUAGAGCUUGAGUGAAGUAGAGGCAGGCGGAAUUCCCCGUGUAGCGGUGAAAUGCGUAGAGAUGGGGAGGAACACCAGUGGCGAAGGCGGCCUGCUGGGCUUUAACUGACGCUGAGGCACGAAAGCGUGGGUAGCAAACAGG
This 278-nucleotide ribosomal RNA is filed under the name Ruminococcus bromii. Its description in RNAcentral is "partial 16S ribosomal RNA". It matches the Rfam family "Bacterial small subunit ribosomal RNA", at positions 502 to 776 of the family's 1533-position model. Lineage: Bacteria; Bacillati; Bacillota; Clostridia; Eubacteriales; Oscillospiraceae. The record is from RNAcentral.